GUUACGGACCGUUCCAUCCAUCCAUCUAUAAAACGGCGAUUGCGGUUAGUUUAGUAUCGAAUUGAAACCAAACAUGAGCCAAAUCAGAGAAUUAUUCGGAACGCCAAACUCCGCUUGAGGGCGCUGUUGUCAUGGCUCUGUGACGUAAGCCGUAAUCAUGUGAUCACGUGAUUGAAUAUAAGCAAAACCAAGUUUUAAGCAACGUUUUCGAGGAGUUGCAAAGAUUGCAGGACAAUCUUCGCCAACAAGGAGAAACGUUGCGUGAAUUGCAGAAAAAUAAUCGAGGUAAUAAUAGAGGAAACAAUAAUCGAAAGGAGGAAAUGGCAGAGGAAGAGGCAGAGGAAGAGGCAAGGGAAGAGGAGGAAUUUUUAUAUAUCACUAUUACAAUAAACAACAAUAAUAAUAUAACUUGUAACUUAUAACUAUAUGUAUUUAAAUAAAAAAUAAAAAUAAAAAAAAUAUUAUGACUGAGUUUUACAUGAAAAAA
This is a long non-coding RNA of Nasonia vitripennis (jewel wasp), 487 nucleotides long. RefSeq lists it as uncharacterized. The transcript is spliced from 3 exons. Lineage: Eukaryota; Metazoa; Arthropoda; Insecta; Hymenoptera; Pteromalidae. The record is from RefSeq and is a predicted model, not a curated record.